RNAcentral lists this ribosomal RNA (496 nucleotides) under uncultured bacterium. RNAcentral describes it as "partial 16S ribosomal RNA". It matches the Rfam family "Bacterial small subunit ribosomal RNA", at positions 29 to 507 of the family's 1533-position model. The record is from RNAcentral.
AUGAACGCUGGCGGCGUGCCUAAUACAUGCAAGUCGCGCGAACAGACGAGGAGCUUGCUCCUCUAACGUUAGCGGCGGACGGGUGAGUAACACGUGGAUAACCUACCUAUAAGACUGGGAUAACUUCGGGAAACCGGAGCUAAUACCGGAUAAUAUAUUGAACCGCAUGGUUCAAUAGUGAAAGACGGUUUUGCUGUCACUUAUAGAUGGAUCCGCGCCGCAUUAGCUAGUUGGUAAGGUAACAGCUUACCAAGGCAACGAUGCGUAGCCGACCUGAGAGGGUGAUCGGCCACACUGGAACUGAGACACGGUCCAGACUCCUACGGGAGGCAGCAGUAGGGAAUCUUCCGCAAUGGGCGAAAGCCUGACGGAGCAACGCCGCGUGAGUGAUGAAGGUCUUCGGAUCGUAAAACUCUGUUAUUAGGGAAGAACAAAUGUGUAAGUAACUAUGCACGUCUUGACGGUACCUAAUCAGAAAGCCACGGCUAACUACGUG